UGGGGAAUUUUGGACAAUGGGCGCAAGCCUGAUCCAGCAAUGCUACGUGCAGGAUGAAGGCCUUCGGGUUGUAAACUGCUUUUGUACGGAACGAAACGGUCUUUUCUAAUACAGAAGGCUAAUGACGGUACCGUAAGAAUAAGCACCGGCUAACUACGUGCCAGCAGCCGCGGUAAUACGUAGGGUGCGAGCGUUAAUCGGAAUUACUGGGCGUAAAGCGUGCGCAGGCGGUGAUGUAAGACAGAUGUGAAAUCCCCGGGCUCAACCUGGGACCUGCAUUUGUGACUGCAUCGCUGGAGUGCGGCAGAGGGGGAUGGAAUUCCGCGUGUAGCAGUGAAAUGCGUAGAUAUGCGGAGGAACCCGAUGGCGAAGGCAAUCCCCUGGGCCUGCACUGACGCUCAUGCACGAAAGCGUGGGGAGCAAACA
RNAcentral lists this ribosomal RNA (426 nucleotides) under uncultured bacterium. Its description in RNAcentral is "bacterial SSU rRNA". It matches the Rfam family "Bacterial small subunit ribosomal RNA", at positions 355 to 774 of the family's 1533-position model. The record is from RNAcentral.